UGGAUUGUGGCUCAGUGGCAGAGCACCUGCCUAGCAUGUGUGAGGCACUGGGUUCAAUUCUCAGCAACACAU
RNAcentral lists this transfer RNA (72 nucleotides) under Ictidomys tridecemlineatus (thirteen-lined ground squirrel). Its description in RNAcentral is "Spermophilus tridecemlineatus (thirteen-lined ground squirrel) tRNA". It matches the Rfam family "tRNA". From Rfam's summary of the family: Transfer RNA (tRNA) molecules are approximately 80 nucleotides in length. Their secondary structure includes four short double-helical elements and three loops (D, anti-codon, and T loops). Further hydrogen bonds mediate the characteristic L-shaped molecular structure. tRNAs have two regions of fundamental functional importance: the anti-codon, which is responsible for specific mRNA codon recognition, and the 3' end, to which the tRNAs corresponding amino acid is attached (by aminoacyl-tRNA synthetases). tRNAs cope with the degeneracy of the genetic code in two manners: having more than one tRNA (with a specific anti-codon) for a particular amino acid; and 'wobble' base-pairing, i.e. permitting non-standard base-pairing at the 3rd anti-codon position. Lineage: Eukaryota; Metazoa; Chordata; Mammalia; Rodentia; Sciuridae. The record is from Rfam by way of RNAcentral.